GAUGGGUAAACUGUAAAUAAAAACAGAAUGCAAUGAUUUGCAAAUCUUAAACCCAUAUUUUAUUCACAAUAGAAUGUAGAACACAUAUCACAUGUUUAAACUGAGGAAAUGUACAAUUUUAAGGGAAAAAUAGGUAAUUUUCAAUUUGAUGGCAGCAACACAUCUCAAAAAAGAUUAUUUCAAUUAUUUUAUUUUAACAUUGCUGAAGUACAAAAAGUUGUUGAAGUUUCAGCAAGGCAAACCUCCUGUUUGUCUCUUACCCUGUUCAUAUCACACCUCCACUACCCAGUCUCGUCCUGACUGUUACUGGCUGACGACUUCAUGAAAAAUUACAACUGCAAAUUACACCUGAAAUUACAAGUGGAAUAAGCAACCACAGCUGUUUUUUUUUUUGUUUUUUUUUUUAAUUAAAGCAUAUAAUUUGCAUUCAUUGUAAUUAGCCAUGUUAGCCAUUGUGAAAUAUGAUGCAUUGAAAUUACUGUAUUGAAAUAAUUGCAUUUUAUAUGAAAGGGCUCAGGAAGGGAGGUGGAUAUCAGCUAGGAUGGCAGAUAGAAACAGACAGAAGCUCAUUGAGACAUAAGAAGGGAGUGUUGGUCAGAGACGAACGAAAAACAAAGACUCUUUUUAAAAAAAGAAACCUUGUCCUCAUAAAACCUUUUCCAGUAAAACAACUAACUGCGCAUGCUCCACAAAUUUAAGAUAACAUAUAGAUUUGAAUAAUUAAUUGUGGCCAAAGAAGACUGGUCUUUUUUUAAUGAGAAAAGGUAAAACCCCACCUAAGAUGAGUUUGCUGUGGAGAAAGGUAUAAAAAGGGCUGUGUGUGGUUGCAUAAUUUAGACUUUCUGCAGACUGUCUCACUUUAUUGUUUCAAUAAAGUUUAAUUACUUUUGACAUCUACAAACCCUCUGUCUCUGAAGCUUUUUGUUAGGCUGGAAAGAUUAUUUCCCACGACAGUCCUCUUGGGGAGGCUACAAUUUGGAUACAAGAAAGAACAGUGUAAAAAGAUAAUGAAUGGAUGGUUCAUUUAUUUGCAAUGAUUUAAUACGUCAGAAUAAUUUCAACAUAGUACUGCUUUGUAUCCAGCUGAUUUUGCUGCAGCUUCUUCAACGUUGUAAGUUUCAGAUGAACUGAGGUUCAUCAAGGCGACUUCUGCUUCCAGAAGAACCCAUUUCCAUGCCAGUCAGAGAAAGUCUACGCUUGCCAUCACUCUCUACAUUUUGGUGAGACUGGUCAAAGAUGCUCUGUUUGGCAAAGAGCUGGCAGAUCCUCUUGGGGAGGUCACACUGGCUGAUCACUAGAAGGUGGUGAAGGGACAGGGCUAGCACAUUCCUGGUGUCCAAUCAGCUCAAGGCUUUGGGAAGUUAUGUCAGAAGGAGUGUUUUCCUCAGAAGGAGCAGCCAUGAUUUGCUCAAGCUCAACAUCUGAUUUAGCCACAAGUCCUUCUUCUGCUACUUCAUCAGAUCUUGACAUGUGGUCAACAUUUUCCGUUGCAGAAGUAGCAGUGAGCUCAAGAACGCUUGUAUCCGAAUCGGAGUCAGAUUUGAUUCUUGAAGUCAGAGGGUCAUCAAGGUGGCUCAUGCUUCCAGAAUCAGCCAAGAUGCCCUCAACCUCAUCUUUGGCCUUAACUUCAGGUCCAGAAGACUGGUCAAAUACUGUGGAGAACGGGACUUUGGUAGAUCUUCUUGGGGAGUCAGCUCUCUCUUUCACAAUGUCUGCAAUUUGGGCAAAAAAUUGUAUUUAGCUAUGACUAAUGUGAUUUGCAUUCAUCACAAUGGUAGUACAAUGCAAUGCUUUCUAUAAGUAA
Ictalurus punctatus (channel catfish) is the source of this 1804-nucleotide long non-coding RNA. NCBI's taxonomy places the organism in Eukaryota, Metazoa, Chordata, Actinopteri, Siluriformes, Ictaluridae. The record is from Ensembl.